This 383-nucleotide ribosomal RNA is filed under the name uncultured bacterium. Its description in RNAcentral is "bacterial SSU rRNA". It matches the Rfam family "Bacterial small subunit ribosomal RNA", at positions 29 to 416 of the family's 1533-position model. The record is from RNAcentral.
AUUAAACGCUGGCGGCAUGCCUUACACAUGCAAGUCGAACGGCAGCACGGGGCAACCUGGUGGCGAGUGGCGAACGGGUGAGUAAAGCAUCGGAACGUGCCCUGGAGUGGGGGAUAACGUAGCGAAAGUUACGCUAAUACCGCAUAUUCUGUGAGCAGGAAAGCAGGGGAUCGCAAGACCUUGCGCUCUGGGAGCGGCCGAUGUCGGAUUAGCUAGUUGGUGGGUAAAGGCCUACCAAGGCGACGAUCCGUAGCGGGUCUGAGAGGAUGAUCCGCCACACUGGGACUGAGACACGGCCCAGACUCCUACGGGAGGCAGCAGUGGGGAAUUUUGGACAAUGGGCGGAAGCCUGAUCCAGCCAUGCCGCGUGAGUGAAGAAGGCC